UCACCUUCCUCUUUCUAUUCUAUUAUUCCUUGCUGCAGCAGCACCACUUCCAACAAUUACAGCACCACCAACUAUCACUUGGAAGACGGCAGAUGAGGGAGAAACCGGAGAGUAAGAGGAGCGAACGCCGCCAGAUGAAUCAACCGCGAGAGCAGCCUUAACAAGCUGCCGUUGGAUCUCGAAAGUAGAGGCGGCGGAGGCCUCGAUGCGAAGUCUUCGCUUACAACAACGGCGUCCAGCGGCGGCCUCUUCGGCGGAGAAAAAAAAAAGCGAAGGACCGUGCGGUGAUGGAAAUGGGAGGUACGGUGGAUGAACGGAUAGAGCGGAGGAGAAGACGUCGUAACAACAUGUUUUUGGGUGAUGGAUGAAUGAAAGUGAAUUAUUUGCAUUUUCUAUGAAAUUGAUGCAUCCUGUCUCAGUUCUCAU
Vicia faba (fava bean) is the source of this 426-nucleotide non-coding RNA. Lineage: Eukaryota; Viridiplantae; Streptophyta; Magnoliopsida; Fabales; Fabaceae. The record is from the annotation of a GenBank genome assembly.